Paramormyrops kingsleyae is the source of this 1185-nucleotide RNA transcript. It is a transcript of the gene named integrin subunit beta 3 binding protein, with no coding region annotated. Lineage: Eukaryota; Metazoa; Chordata; Actinopteri; Osteoglossiformes; Mormyridae. The record is from RefSeq and is a predicted model, not a curated record.
GGUGACGGGGAACCCAUUUCCGGUCGUACCGCGCCACUUUUCAAAACGGGCAUUAUUUGUUUUGGAGACUGUGCGCUUACUGUAAAUAUGCCAGUUAAGAGGGCCCUGCGUUUGGAAGAAAAGGAAAAUAUAACGCCAUCUAAGAGACCAGCACUAGACAGGACCUAUUCCCCAUUGACUGGUACCUGCUCCAUUCACCACACUCAUACUCCUCCAGCUAAUUCAAAUUUGAGGGAAAAUGCUGGCAGUCCAACGGUACAGGAACCUCAGACAGAUAAAGAAAAAUUUCAUGCCUUGCGGUCUAAAAUUGAAGCGUCAGUAAAUGCAUUUUUAAAGGCCAGGCAGCAGAUUGAAAAAAUAUUGUCUACAGAGGGCGGUAGUGAGCUGAGCGGGUUCUUCAGGGGAGGCUCUUCGGAUCUGCAGGCCGAACUGUGCAAAAACAGGGAGCUCUGUGCCCUGGUGGAAGCUCGCCUCGACGGGAUCGACUUGGACCGCCACCGCAGAGACGGUCCCGGAAGGCCGUCAAGCUCCUACGAAUUCCUAAAAUCAAUCCUGAACUGAGGAGUAAUUCUGCGCCCUCUGAUUUUGAUAAUUAGUUUGCACUGGAGCUGAAGCAGAGCAGUUACAGGCCUAGUGCCAGGUGCCAUGGGGAUGCCCAGUCCUGCUGGAGCGUAGGGUGUCCUGCUGGAGCGUAGGGUGUCUUGCAGCAGCACUCUCUGCUUGCUAAGCUUCCGGAAGGUUCUCCCGCCACGUGGCAAAUGUGGAAUCCGGGUGUGAGAUACACAGACCCUGCCGAUCGUGCCGCUUGGAGGCAGCACCUUUGUGACCCACGAGGGAGGAGGGACCGAUGGCUCUCCCGGCCUGUCUGCAGAAGCCACCAGGCCCUUCUCCGGAACAGCUCUGCAGCACCCAGGACCACACCCAGCCAUGCUCGGGCUCCUCUGGGCUCCAGGCAAUGUCACCUCCCCCCCCCCAACCCCGAUUCCACCAUUUCUAGUUGAAAUAGAUUUUUUUUUUAAUGCCCAUCAUUAACUUCCAGAAAGAAGCAUAAGAUUGGUGUGGUAUUUCAGUUUUAUGACACCGUGUCUGCCGCUGUCCUGCUAGCACACACCCCCUGCGUGGAUGCUUCUGUAUUUACCGCUCGUAAUGAAUAUUUUAUGAUAAUAAAUGGCUUUAAGAUAUUAA